ACGUAGGUGGCGAGCGUUGUCCGGAAUUACUGGGUGUAAAGGGAGCGCAGGCGGGGGGACAAGUCAGCUGUGAAAACUAUGGGCUUAACCCAUAAACUGCAGUUGAAACUGUUCUUCUUGAGUAGAGGAGAGGUAAGCGGAAUUCCGGGUGUAGAGGUGAAAUUCGUAGAUAUCAGGAGGAACACCAGUGGCGAAGGCGACCUACUGGGCUUAAACUGACGCUGAGGCGCGAAAGUGUGGGUAGCAAACAG
This 251-nucleotide ribosomal RNA is filed under the name uncultured prokaryote. RNAcentral's name for it is "partial 16S rRNA". It matches the Rfam family "Bacterial small subunit ribosomal RNA", at positions 525 to 775 of the family's 1533-position model. The record is from RNAcentral.